This 197-nucleotide unclassified non-coding RNA is filed under the name uncultured Sebacina. RNAcentral's name for it is "sequence contains ITS2". Lineage: Eukaryota; Fungi; Basidiomycota; Agaricomycetes; Sebacinales; Sebacinaceae. The record is from RNAcentral.
UACUCUCACACUCCCGAUCUUUGCAUUGGGAGCAGUGGACUUGGGUUUGCUGCUUCACCGUCGCUUACCUCAAAUAGGUUAGUGCAACUCUUGGUUGGACAUAGUACGGCGUGAUAAGUGUUCUUCGCCGGUGCCUCGCAAAGAGGGUGGCCGAUCGGGAUGUUGUGCUCCAAACCGUCUUCGGACAAUCUCUGACA